Molecule: long non-coding RNA, 3443 nt
Organism: Myodes glareolus (Bank vole)
Lineage: Eukaryota; Metazoa; Chordata; Mammalia; Rodentia; Cricetidae
Source: RefSeq, a predicted model, not a curated record
GUGUGUGUGUGUGUGUGUGUGUGUGUGUGUGUGUGUUUAAAAUACAGAAAAAAGAAGCAUGGCUUUCCUCAGCUGCAGAGGCGGGCCGGGUUCUGUCCGUGCCAACUCCCUCAGAGCGGGCACUGUGGGGACACAGGAGGCACAGGAAGACGGCAGAGGUGAGGGACGGGUGUGGAGAAAGAUGGACGCUUGCCAUCUCGAGCGCCAGCGGCUGCAUGAGGCCAAACCCCAUGAACAAAACCCACAGCAGAUCGCUGGCAGCCCAUGUUAGGAGACGGAAGACAGUUGGCAGCGCUGCCGCAGCCUGGGAGCAGGCGGAUGUAGGCAAGGCCAGCGUGGAACAGGCUGCUGUAAGGCGAGAAGUCUCUAUCACACUCUACUGCUGGGUAAUGGAUGCUCUACUUCCCUCGGGCCCAAAGCUGUGGAGCCAGCUGACCUUGCGCUGAAGCUUGGGAAACUGUGAGCCAGUGUGACUCUGACCCUUUGAAGUGGUCGGGUCUGACACAGCAACGCAUCUGUGACCAUCUGAACGGAACAAGCAUGUUUCAGGCUCUGCACAGACAGCGGCAAGCCACCCGCAGCUUUCCACCUGGAGGGGGUUCUCAGGCCUCUGCUGAGUGAUGUGGAGACCAGUACGGUGCACUGGCUGUAGUAGACAGAGGAAGCAGAGGUUGGUGCUCAGGGUGCUGAGGCAUCUGCGAUUCGUGGCAUAUGGAGAGAAGGAAGCUGUGCAAACAAGAGGCCGGAGCUGUACACAGGAGUUCCCUGGAACCACGUGUGACAACAGUAGAAACUCCUCCGAGGGUGGAGAGGUGAUGUGGCACUGUGACAGUGUUCAUCUGAGACAGAUGGAGAGCAAAUACUGGCUGCAGCCCUGGAAAGGCCAGCCUUGAGAGCAGGGUGAUGACGGCCCCAGCUCAGAAAUGCCAAGCAGCCCCCUUUGUUAACAGGUUCAAAACAGCUUUGCCGGGUAAGGCUUCAGGGCUGGAACAAAUAACACCCUCUCUAUAGAAAAGAUCUCAGGGGACAGAUCCAGAGAGAGGUCACCCAGAUGUUGAAAUUAAAAGAGAAAGGUUUGAAAGGAAGACAGGUGAGCAGCCGUCCGGACCACAGAGAAACGAUGAGUAGACAUGAAGAUGGAUCCAUUUUUAAAAAUGCAAGCGUAAGUACAAAUUGAAAAACCCAACAGGGCUAUAGACAUGCUUCAGCCUUUGUCUAACAGUGUGAAGCCCUGGAUUUGAUCCCCCAGCACAAUAUAAACUGGGCAAGAUAGGAGCUUGCACCUAUAAUCCAAGAACUCGGGAUGUGUUUACAGGAGGAUCAGAUGUUCAGGAUCAUCCUCAGCUACAGACUGAAUUUGAGGCCAUCCUGGGAUACAGGAGACCCUGUCUUUAGAGUAGAUGAAAAGUAUCAAUCCACAAAUCAAUAAAGGCCAUGUGGAAUAAAACUAAAAAUCAGGGACACGCCGGCAAACUACUAACACCGAAUAAAGAGACCACCCCAGAAGCAGGUAGAGAAAAACAGGUGCAGCAGAGACAGAGGCACACGGUAAGGAAUACUGAUGACUUCUCAUCAGAAGCGAUGUGAGCCAGAAGGCAGCAGGAGAGUGUCUUUAAAAUGUUGAAACAAACCUAUAAACAAAGAAAAACGAAACACCCUUGGAGAAUUAAGCUGAAAUAAAGCAUUUCCUGGCAAACAGAAUCCGAGGAAGUCCAUCCUAGCAGACGUGUGUAGGAACCGUGGAGAAGUCCUUCAGGACAGAGGGAUGAUCUGGAGAGGCUCAGAUCAACCCAGAAAGGAAGCCCUGUGGAAUCUGGAAUGUGGUAACACAAAGUCCUCUUCAGAUGACGACAGAGUAGAAAUAAUGGCCUCUGGGGGGAGGGGAGGAUGGUAUUUUCAGAAGGAGUGUGUGCGACUUCAACACGAGACAGCAGGGUAGAGGCGCUAUGGUAACAUUUCCUCUCGCAGCGUCAGAUCAAUUUAGUAAGGUGUGAUCUGAACUCACAGCAAGGACAUCAGGAUCCUGAGAGCAGCUGCCAAAACCACAAGAAGCCCUGAGUGCCAAGAUCUUCAGCGCAGGGCCCCGGACUCGACAGAGCGCAGUAGUCUCUGGUGCAGACCUUCCGCUGUUGCUGCAACCGCUAUUUUGCUUUCUGGCGGUUCUCAAACUCGCGCUGGAACCAGAUGUAUACACCUUAUAAAUAAAAUUUCUGGCAGAAGCAGUCUUGGUCCGCGGGGGCCUUGACACCUGCUGGCCUGUCUAAGUUUGGCGGUCUGAGGAUCAUCCAGCUGGAGUGUCCACAGCUGUGACUUCUUCUUUAGACCCCUCUGGAGUCUGCACCUGCAGAAGCCUCACCUUGGUUUGGCUCUCAGCCUGGUUCAGGUAGCCCCAUCCUCCGUGGCUACAGUUAGAACCAUGACCAGCCUUCCUAAGCUCCAGCCCUGUAGCGUGGAGACUCAGGAGCACGCUAGAGCCACUGUUGCCAAGCAGAGUUAAGAGCAAUGGGAUCCACUAGACACCACACAUAUUCUGCUCUGUCCACUCAGGGGUACUGUACCACCUUUGCUUAUAGCCUCAAUGGGAUAUUGGAACAUUGACGGGGGGGGGGGGCUUUAUCAGCGUCUUCUAAGGCUAACCCGUGGCCAAGUUGCGUGUGGGGGAUUCUUGGUCUCUGCUCAUGUAUCACCUGCCUGGACCCUGGUGACCACAAACAUGCUUGUGAACUGGUUGGCUACAGGGCCACAUGUGUGCCAAUCAUCGGCAGACACGUGGGGAAGGCUAAGUUGUGGCCUUCUGUAGCCUGAUUCCUCUCACCCUGGAUGGGGAAACUGCCUGCCUGCCCUCAAGGAUACAGAAGCUAGGCUAAGGUCCACCACCCCUAGAUUGCUGACGCCUUUCCCGGACACAGUGGUGACAGUGUGCAUCUAAGCCCUGUCACAGAGGAAAAGGCAGAGGCUAGGAUUCCCAGCCCGGUUCCCUGCUCUGGAAGAAACAGGAGGCCCCAGCCUACCCCCUCCUCUGAUGUUUGCUGUUUUGUUGUUGUUGUUAAUUCCUCACCAGGUGGAACCGGCACUGUGGGGCUUAAUUAAGCUCAGCCAGCUGUUGCUGAACACGGGAAUGCAUUGCGUGGCAGAGUCAGCCUGGAGCAGCGGAAGAGGAAGGGCUGGGGCCACAGAAUCCCAGGCCAAGAUGGAGUAUGGUCAGAGUUCAGGGAGUAGAAAGCUGGGGUUGCCAAGGGGACUCCGUGGGGAGGUCCAAGCAUGUUCAAUUGCUGCUUUUCCUCCCCUCCCCUUCCCCAUGCAUUGAAUGAUCUCAGGUUCUGAGAACCGAGACCCACCCAUACUCUCAGAGGACAAAGGGAAACUUCACAGAUAUGAGAGCCCAGGGGAGGUCUUCAGGACAUACUGCUCAAUACUGGGACAGAAGUUCUGGAAUGAAUAUA